UACGAGUGCCCCAAGCGUUAUCCGGAAUUAUUGGGCGUAAAGGGUGCGUAGGCGGUCGGGUAAGUCUGAUGUGAAAUCUCACAGCUUAACUGUGAAACUGCAUUGGAUACUAUCCGGCUCGAGGAAUGGAGGGGAGACUGGAAUACUUGGUGUAGCAGUGAAAUGCGUAGAUAUCAAGUGGAACACCAGUGGCGAAGGCGAGUCUCUGGACAUUUCCUGACGCUGAGGCACGAAAGCCAGGGGAGCAAACGGG
RNAcentral lists this ribosomal RNA (253 nucleotides) under uncultured bacterium. RNAcentral's name for it is "partial 16S ribosomal RNA". It matches the Rfam family "Bacterial small subunit ribosomal RNA", at positions 524 to 776 of the family's 1533-position model. The record is from RNAcentral.